AUUGAACGCUGGCGGCAGGCCUAACACAUGCAAGUCGAACGGUAGCACAGAGAGCUUGCUCUCGGGUGACGAGUGGCGGACGGGUGAGUAACAUCUGGGAAACUGCCCGAUGGAGGGGGAUAACUACGGGAAACGGUAGCUAAUACCGCAUAACGUCGCAAGACCAAAGUGGGGGACCUUCGGGCCUCACACCAUCGGAUGUGCCCAGAUGGGAUUAGGUAGUAGGUGGGGUAAUGGCUCACCUAGGCGACGAUCCCUAGCUGGUCUGAGAGGAUGACCAGCCACACUGGAACUGAGACACGGUCCAGACUCCUACGGGAGGCAGCAGUGGGGAAUAUUGCACAAUGGGCGCAAGCCUGAUGCAGCCAUGCCGCGUGUAUGAAGAAGGCCUUCGGGUUGUAAAGUACUUUCAGCGGGGAGGAAGGCGGUGAAGUUAAUAACUUCACCGAUUGACGUUACCCGCAGAAGAAGCACCGGCUAACUCCGUGCCAGCCGCCGCGGUAA
RNAcentral lists this ribosomal RNA (504 nucleotides) under uncultured bacterium. Its description in RNAcentral is "partial 16S ribosomal RNA". It matches the Rfam family "Bacterial small subunit ribosomal RNA", at positions 29 to 523 of the family's 1533-position model. The record is from RNAcentral.